Non-coding RNA from Benincasa hispida (wax gourd), 2622 nucleotides. The record is from RefSeq and is a predicted model, not a curated record. Lineage: Eukaryota; Viridiplantae; Streptophyta; Magnoliopsida; Cucurbitales; Cucurbitaceae.
UUCAUUCAGUAAACAAAGUUACUUUCUCUCUCUAAACAAGUUUAUGAAAAAUCUCUCAAAUCUCUCUAUGCUUUCCUUUGUUCUUGCUCGAUUUCCUAGUGAAUAAAGAAGCGAAUCAAAUAUGCAAAUUACAUAAGUGAAAAAGGAAGAGAAGAGCAACAAAAGAAUGUACGUGGUUCGGCUAAAGUUCAAGCUACAUCCAUCGGAAGGGAAGAUGAUUUUAUUGAAGACUUUCAGAGAUAAGUUUUUCUUUUCUUUUACAGAUCUUAUACAAGACAAAAAUGUAAAAACUGAAUUCGAAAUGAAUGUAACCUGUGUGUGUGUGUGUGUGUGAUUACAAAUCUGUUAUGAAGUCUACUGAAAAGUAAAAUUAGCCAUUGAGCUAUUUUGAGAUUAAAAUCUUUCAAAUCUCCACCUUAACUCAACUCUGAAAUCUUCUCCCUUCCAAUUUUGACCACCGAUCAUCCUUUUUCAGGUAAUAUGAAACCGAUCAGAUCAAAGCACUUGCUGAGCUUAAGCUUCGAUACCAACUUGGUAAGCAUAUUCGAUGCAUUCUCCGAGGCCUACGAUGCUGAGGAGUUCAGUCCAAAAGAAAGGGUAGGUAGAAUGAAAGGCUUACAAUGAGCCACGCCUCUCAGCUACCUCCACUAUCAACGAUUUAUGGGAGUUCAAUGAGGCCGACCAAAAUUCAUUUGGUAAACUCUCUGUGCUUUCCUUUGUUCUUGCUCGAUUUCUCAGUGAAUCAAGAAGUGAAUCAAGCAUGCAAAUUGAAGAAGAAAAGAGCAACAAAAGCAUGUACAUGGUUCGGCUAAAGUUGAAGCCUACAUCCAUGGAAAGGGAAGAUGAUUUUAUUGAAGACUUUAAAAGAUAAGUUUUUCUGUUCUUUUACAGAUCUUGUACAAGACAAAAAUGUAAAAACUAAAUUCAAAAUGAAUGUAACCUAUAUAUGUGUGUGUGUGAUUACAAAUCUGUUAUGAAGUCUGUUGAAAAGUAAAACUAGUCGUUGAGCUAUUUUGAGAUUAAAAUCUUUCAAUUAUUAUUGUGAAAAUAUUUGUUAAGAUUUAAUGAAUUUCUUACUUACUUAGAUUAAUACAAGUGUCAGUUAAGUUUUGCUCAUUUUGACUCAAUAAAGUUGAUUAGAGAUGACCAAAUAUGUCUAUAAAAUACAAAACACUAAAUUACUAUAUAAUAAAAAUCGAUAUUUGAUUAGACUUUGUAAAACCCGAACCCUAAUUACCUUAAGUAAGAAAGUGUAAGUUAUCCGAUGUCUUCCAAUGAGUUGUAAUGAGAUUAUGUUUUGGUUAGGAGUGAUGGAAAAAGAAAGAAAACUAAGGAGCAAGAGAACUCUCGGAUGGUUAUGUAGGAAAGAAUGGUCAAAUUUUAGCUAAGUAUGGGAAACCAAGAGGAGACCAUGCUAUCCUAUGAGAUUUAAUGUUGAAUUGUGCUGCGAUGGAGUGGAAAGAAAAUGGAUUAAUCAAAUCUCAACCAUUAAUCUUCAUUAGUGGGCUAAGUGGCCUAAGGAGAUUUCAUGCAGGAUUUUGGGCGGUGGUAAGCAGGAAGGCCGACUUUAUUUAAUUGGUUGAACAAAUACUUGGGCUAUUCGUUUAAUUUCAGUGGCAUUUGAAAGCUCUGUAUGUCUAUUUUUUGUGGCUUUUCUGUGAAAGGGAAAACUCGCCGGAAUAAUGUCGGAGGAGCAAAAUAAAGACAAAGGGUUCGUUUCUCGGUUGAAUCUAGACUAUCAGUGAAGAAUUAAAGCUCCAGGACGAAUCACAAAGAUUUUUGAGCUAAAAAUUUGAGUGGAAAUUGUUGAACAAGUAGGCAGCUGCUUGAUUGGGGCCAAUGAUGAAAUUUUGAAUCUCCAGAUAAAAGGACGAGGAAUUUCAAGCUAAAAUUUGAAGAUAAUGUUGCUAACUUGAUUCUAAGAAAGUUUGUAGAGGAUGCUCCUUGAGAUGAGUUCUGGAAGUUUAGUUGUGAAUUGUUGAAAUUAAAUCUGCAGUUUGAUGCUCCAAAAUUUUCCUUAGUGUGGGGAAUGUGGGCGAUCAAAAGGUGCAUUCUUUCGACACCCAAUCUCUCCAAAUUGGCUAAGUGUCCGACCCUCAAAGUGAAUGGUUCAAUUCCCAUUGGAGAAGGCUAUCAAGCCUUAAGGAAGCAAACUUGAAGGAUCUGUAUUUUCAGCUCAAUACUGAAGGACAAGGAAAAGGUAGUGGUCAUCUCCCCAGAGGUUAGCUGCCAUCCUACUCUGCCACUCAAGGACUCCAGUUAAAAGUCUAAAGUCUAAUGAGAAAUUUUAGGUGUUUAGUCUGUAAAUGUCUGUACAUAUGUGUUGCUCAUAUUAAGGACUAAUAAAGUAUAUUGGGACCGCUGAACUCUGUAGGAGUUAAUAUGAUGUAGUUAUGUUGUUGUUGUUGAUCCCUAGUGUUCUUAGGUUAUUUUUAAAGUUUCCUUAGUUUGGUGAAUGUUAUAUAUGUAUUCCAAGGAUCUAAGUAGGUUAAGGAUGUUAGUUAGAUAGUAAGUGCCAAAAAAGGGUUGGUAACUACUGUCGUCACAUUCACUUCUGGGUUAAGAAGGGUAAUCUGGGAGGGGUGUGAUAGACUUUUAUUUUACGGAUUAAAUUGUUACAUA